Molecule: long non-coding RNA, 1493 nt
Organism: Rhineura floridana
Lineage: Eukaryota; Metazoa; Chordata; Lepidosauria; Squamata; Rhineuridae
Exons: 2
Source: RefSeq, a predicted model, not a curated record
AUCUGGGGUGACCAGCCAGGGUCCUGCAAUGAAGCCAAGGAAGGGCCAUAUUCACUCAGGUUGAGUUCAGCCUCUGACACCAAGGCUGAGUGGGUCCUAAGCCUAAAGGAAAGAUGUUGCCUCAUGUGCUAGUUGGGGACCGGACCCAUCUAGAGGAGUGCCUGACUGCAGGGCAGGACUCCUUAGCAGUAAAGGACUCCUCAGGAGUAAAGGUCUGGCUGAAAGUAGUGAAUAGGAGUCAGCUGAGGUUUGGGGUGUGAUUCCAGCAGCUCCAGCUGAAAAAAAGCAGUGCUAGACUGGAAAAAGGUACUGAAACAAUGUCUAUGCACUAUCUCUGUACUUUCAGUAUCUGCUGAUCUCCUUUGGACUUCAGACCUGACCAUGGAGUAUCCUGGACUUGCCCUGCCCUUGCCCUGGUUUGCCCACAGCCUGCUUGAAGCUUGAUCUUGGAGUGCUCUGACUUUGCUGCCUGCCUGACCCUUUUGCUGUUGUGGACUCUGACUUUGAAUUGGCCCUGAAUACUGCAUUGGUGUUGCCCGCAUUGGUGUUACUGCUGGGAAAUCUCUUGCCUCCUCAGGAGCCUGGUGGGAACAGGACAUUUACUUACAGGAACACACAGGAGAAAUGGACCACUGCAGGAUUGAAAAGUGCCAGUUCAUGGGAUCCAAGAUGGGGUUUUGAAUAGCGCCAAGCAGCAAAUAGACUCCCUGUCAUGACAGGCUUUCUGUGGCCAGGCUCUUCUUCCUCACAGUGUGCACCUCUUCAGUGCCAUGACGUAAGUUUUGCACAUUAUCAGGCCCUAGACACUGGACUGGACAGACAUGCAUUGGUUCCUUCCACAGCUUGCCUCCCUGUGAAUGUACCUAAGGAGCUGGAUAUUGCCCCAAGUUCUUAGGGUAGCCUGCUUAAUGGAAGAUAGUUUAUUAAAUAAGAGAUGAAAAACAUUGCAUAGUAUGACUCAAAUUGUUCUGCACAAAAUAGAUUCCAAAUAUCUACUUGCAGUAAAGAGCAAAGCAUCACGGUAAAAAAAAAUUUAAAAAAUCAACAGGCAUUUGCCAAAUGAUCAAAUUCAUUUAAAAUUAUUUCUAUUUGAUUUGCAAUAACUAGUCCAGGUGCACCUUGGAAAAAGAAGAUAAUUAAUAGUCAGCCAAAUGACAGCUUAAUCUUGCAGCCAUUUUUCACAUGGGAACCCACCCAAGAAUCCAUAGUACAACUUUGCCUGGAGUUGUUGCUGUCUUGGAUUGAAAAUUGGUAUACAUCUGUGGCUUGAAUAGAUCUUGUGAGAAGCAUUUGUAAUAAAGUGGCACAGAGAAUGAAUAUAUUUCAUGUAGUGCAUUGGGAUUUUUUUGUGGGGGGAGGGUAAUCGCAAAGUAUUUAUCAGCAUUUCUAGAAACCUGUUGACCAUUAAGUGGUGCUUGUAAUCCACUUUUUAAAAAUGUAAAUCCACUGUGGUGUAAUACAUCAAAGAAAUAAAAGCUAGAAUGUUGUCUGAG